This 1080-nucleotide long non-coding RNA is filed under the name Citrus sinensis (sweet orange). RNAcentral describes it as "long non-coding RNA (CSIN_LNC000403)". Lineage: Eukaryota; Viridiplantae; Streptophyta; Magnoliopsida; Sapindales; Rutaceae. The record is from RNAcentral.
AAAAACACUCACACUCCAAAAAAUAGGUUUUCUUCAACCUUAAACCCUAAUUUACAGAGGGCUAGCUAGCUCUCUUUGCCAUAAAAGCUUGAGUUUGCUAACUUGAGCGUCGGAGUGUGAACGCCGGGUACCCUGGCUUCACCUCUAACCUAUAUUUCACUGUUUUGCAGGCGUGAAGCUCAUUUUGAAGGACACCUCUCUUGUUUCUGACCUUCCACCAUUGUUACCACUCUCUCUCCCCUUCUCACCUCCCCCGAACUUCAGAUACACCGCAUCGCACACAAUAAACUAGUGAGGUAUUCCAUCUCCCCCAAAAAUAUAAAUUCAUUGUUCUUGAUUGAUUUUGGAUUUUCCUACCCCAAAAUCAGUUGAAAACACAGGGCUUCGGGGAAAAUUGGAAGCCGAUAAUAAAUUCCGAUGCAUUCUUUUAUCAUACAUGUCAAUAUGUGUUUUGUUCCCGAGGCUUGUUCUUCAGGUCGGCAUUCUGACACCACCAGUCUUGGACCAAAUUCAGCCACGGCUCUGUAUAAAAUUUUCAACUCUGUCACGGUAAGCAAAUUAGGCAUGUUAUUGAGGAACAAACUCUUUAGACUAGCUUUGCAAUCCUGCACUUUCAGUAUCAAAAAGGAAUUUUCACAGCUAUGAUUCUCACCAUAAAAUCUUAUUAUUUAUUUUUUUUUUCAUUUUUUUCAUUUUUUUCAUCUUAGUGAACGGAAAAGCUAGAAUGGACUGCCACUUAGAAUUGGCUGAAUACUUUUUGACUAGUUUUCUUUGUCAUCAAAAAGCAAGAUUGAUUUCGGCUUACGUUGAUUGUUGAACCAAUCCUUUUUUUUUUUUUUUUUUUUUUCCAGCGUCCAUGUGAAAACCUAUCGAUAAAAGCACGUAUGUCCAGGUGUGAUAACAAAAGCAAGCCACUUUAAGAAAUAAUGCAUGUACUUAGCCAUGGAACAUCAUCUUAUUUUGAAAGGUCAAUUCACUGGCGCCAAGUUUAAAUCAACAUUGUGAAUUAGAUGUAACUAUCUCUAUGAUUUCAAAUCAGUACUAAAAAUUCCAUUUAAUUGUUACCUCAUAAGACUGUGC